Molecule: ribosomal RNA, 1811 nt
Filed under: human gut metagenome
Description: bacterial LSU rRNA
Rfam family: Bacterial large subunit ribosomal RNA
Source: RNAcentral
AGGUUGGCUCAGAAGCAGCCAUCCUUUAAAGAGUGCGUAACAGCUCACUAGUCGAGUGACCCUGCGCCGAAAAUGUACCGGGGCUAAGCCUGAUACCGAAACUGCGGAUUGUAGGAAACUAUAGUGGUAGGGGAGCGUUGUAUACGAGUAGAAGCCGUACCGUGAGGAGCGGUGGAUUGUAUAGAAGUGAGAAUGCCGGUGUGAGUAGCGAGAUGUAGGUGAGAAUCCUACACACCGAAAGCCCAAGGAUUCCAGGGGAAGGUUCGUCCGCCCUGGGUAAGUCGGGACCUAACGCGAGGCCGAAAGGCGUAGUGGAUGGAAAGCAGGCGAAAGAUUCCUGCACCCGUAUAUGGAGCGAAGGAGUGACGGAGACGGAUAGUGUGACCCUCUUAAUGGAUUGAGGGCGAAGCGAAGCGGCUGGUUACCAGGCAAAUCCGGUAACUGAAAGGCUAGAGCGUGACAGGUAAGCGAAAUCUUCGGAAAGUAGCGAAGCACAUGAUGACGGCUUCCAGGAAAAGCUUCUGGCAAUGCAUAUGCGGCCCGUACCAAAACCGACACAGGUGGGCAGGGAGAGAAUCCCGAGGUGAGCGAGAGAACUGUUGCCAAGGAACUCGGCAAAAUGACUCCGUAAGUUAGCGAGAAGGAGUGCUUAAGCAAUUAAGCCGCAGUGAAGAGGCCCAAGCGACUGUUUAACUAAAACACAGCUCUCUGCGAAGUCGCAAGACGAAGUAUAGGGGGUGACACCUGCCCGGUGCUGGAAGGUUAAGAGGAUCUGUUAAGAGCGAUCUGAAGCAGUGAUCCGAAGCCCCAGUGAACGGCGGCCGUAACUAUAACGGUCCUAAGGUAGCGAAAUUCCUUGUCAGGUAAGUUCUGACCCGCACGAAAGGUGUAACGAUUUGGGCGCUGUCUCGGCAGCAGACUCGGUGAAAUCUUAGUACCUGUGAAAAUGCAGGUUACCCGCAACUAGACGGAAAGACCCCAUGGAGCUUUACUGCAGCCUGAUAUUGAAUUCUGGUCAUACAUGUACAGGAUAGGUGGGAGACAAAGAGACGUGCACGCCAGUGUACGAGGAGUCGCCGUUGGGAUACCACUCUUGUGUGACCGGGGUUCUAACCUGGUAUCGAAAACAGGUACGGGGAGAGUGUCAGGUGGGCAGUUUGACUGGGGCGGUCGCCUCCCAAAGAGUAACGGAGGCGCCCAAAGGUACGCUCAGAUUGGAUGGAAACCAAUCGGCGAGUGCAAUUGCAGAAGCGUGCUUGACUGUGAGACUUACAAGUCGAACAGGGACGAAAGUCGGGAAUAGUGAUCCGGCGGUGCCGAAUGGAAGGGCCGUCGCUCAACGGAUAAAAGCUACCCUGGGGAUAACAGGCUGAUCUCGCCCAAGAGUUCACAUCGACGGCGAGGUUUGGCACCUCGAUGUCGGCUCAUCGCAUCCUGGAGCUGGAUUCGGUUCCAAGGGUUGGGCUGUCCGCCCAUUAAAGCGGUACGCGAGCUGGGUUCAGAACGUCGUGAGACAGUUCGGUCCCUAUCUGUUGUGGGCGAAGGAGAUCUGCGGAGAGCUGUCCUCAGUACGAGAGGACCGGGAUGGACCUACCGCUGGUGCACCGGUUGUUCCGCCAGGGGCAUAGCCGGGUAGCUAAGUAGGGAAAGGAUAAGCGCUGAAAGCAUCUAAGCACGAAGCCUACUCCAAGAUGAGAUCUCCCAUUCGCAAGAAGUAAGACCCCUUAAAGACGAUAAGGUAGAUAGGCCAGGGAUGGAAGUGCAGUGAUGUACGGAGUUGACUGGUACUAAUCGGUCGAGGACUUAAUCAG